GAUGAACGCUAGCGGCAGGCCUAACACAUGCAAGUCGAGGGGUAGCAGGAUUAAGCUUGCUUAAUUGCUGACGACCGGCGCACGGGUGCGUAACGCGUAUGCAACCUACCUUAUACUGGGGUAUAGCCCGGAGAAAUUCGGAUUAAUACCCCGUAAUAUAGUUGAAUGGCAUCAUUUGAUUAUUAUAGCUACGGCGCUUAAUGAUGGGUGUGCGGCUGAUUAGAUAGUUGGCGGGGUAACGGCCCACCAAGUCUACGAUCAGUAGCUGAUGUGAGAGCAUGAUCAGCCACACGGGCACUGAGACACGGGCCCGACUCCUACGGGAGGCAGCAGUAAGGAAUAUUGGUCAAUGGACGCAAGUCUGAACCAGCCAUGCCGCGUGAAGGAUUAAGGUCCUCUGGAUUGUAAACUUCUUUUAUUUGGGACGAAAAAGGGCCUUUCUAGGUCAACUGACGGUACCAGAUGAAUAAGCACCGGCUAACUCCGUGCCAGCCGCCGCCGUAA
RNAcentral lists this ribosomal RNA (504 nucleotides) under uncultured bacterium. Its description in RNAcentral is "partial 16S ribosomal RNA". It matches the Rfam family "Bacterial small subunit ribosomal RNA", at positions 28 to 523 of the family's 1533-position model. The record is from RNAcentral.